CGGGGAUUGGCGCAAUUGGCUAGCGCGCACGCAUGGGGUGCGUGAGGCUGCUGGUUCGAAUCCAGUAUCCCCGACAA
RNAcentral lists this transfer RNA (77 nucleotides) under Candidatus Shapirobacteria bacterium RIFOXYA1_FULL_39_17. Its description in RNAcentral is "tRNA-Pro". It matches the Rfam family "tRNA". From Rfam's summary of the family: Transfer RNA (tRNA) molecules are approximately 80 nucleotides in length. RNAcentral also lists the same sequence under 3 other names. Lineage: Bacteria; Candidatus Shapironibacteriota. The record is from RNAcentral.